Molecule: non-coding RNA, 204 nt
Organism: Vicia faba (fava bean)
Lineage: Eukaryota; Viridiplantae; Streptophyta; Magnoliopsida; Fabales; Fabaceae
Source: the annotation of a GenBank genome assembly
AUGGCAUCAUCUUCAUCAUCUAUCACAUUGAAACUCUUUUUCGUCUUAGCCGCCUUAGCCGCCGUAACCUCGGCCCAAGACCUUGGCCUCUCCCCGGUUACGGCGCCAGGUCCCGAUGCCGGAGCGGCCGGAUAUGCUAUAAAUUCUAUUGCUAUGAUCGGAGUGUCAAUUGUGUUGUCAAUGAUUGCUAUAUUGAAGCAUUAG